GUGUGUGUGUGUGUGUGUGUACAUGCAUAUAUAUAGACACACACAAAAUUUUGACAAGUAAAUAAUUUAGCAAUACCAAAAGGCAGUUAGGUUCACGAGGAGCAAACUUGACUCAAUAAAAUUACCAAUGAGAUGACAAGCACUCCAAAAAAUUUAGGAUGUCGAUUAACAUUAUAUAGAUUUAUUGUUGUCAAGGCAUGUUCAAGCAAGAUGCAAGGCGCAUGCCUAGGCACACCUCUACAGAAUUUCAUUGAAAUUUCAACAAAAUUCUCCAAUUAUCUCCUAAAGAUUGACUUCUGUAUAUCUACACACGCAUACACAAAGUUAUACAGGUUAAAGGAAUGUAUACAAGAUCAAAGCUCAUUAGAAAGAAAGAGGCUAAAAUUAUGUUUGUUAACAUAAGACAAAUAUAGUUGACUUUGAAAUGAGAUUAAUUAAUUCCUAAAAUCAUGUUAAUAUAAGUUUUUUUUCCUAUUUUAGAUUUUAUUUGACCUUGACCUAUUUGUUACAAGUUGAUAAAUCUAUUUUUAAAUUUCCAAUUAGCUAGUUGUCAUGAGUUGACUAUCCUUUUUCCAUUUCUUUUGCUUGUCUUAUUUUUCCAAAUUUAAUUACAUUUUUUUGGUUUCUUUUUUUUUUUCUUUGCUAGCCCAUUUUCUCUUUUUUCUUUUUCUAUGUGCCUCUUCUUUUCCAUCUCUUUUCUAGGUGACUUGUUCUUUUAGAUGUUUUCUAUUGCUUUUUGCUCAAUUUUUAUAGAUGAAAAUAUUGCUUAUUAACCUAGCUUGUAUGAGGUGAUGUUAUAUUGUUUAUUUGACCAUAAGCAAUCUAUAAUUAAGGAAGGAAAAGAGGUUAGAUUGACAAUAAUAAACUUAAUUCUUCUGUCACAACAAAGAAGACUAAGUUACUCUUGACAAUAAGCAUUUUCUUAUAGUUUUUUUUCUGGGAAUUACUGCUACUUAGUAGGAAAUUUGGAAUAUGAUUUAAGAGUUUUAAAAUCUUUUAGUUUUAUUUUCAUUUGGAUUUCUAAAACAUUAGUAUUUAGUGCUAGAAUCCUAAAUGAUUUAUGCUAUUAAUAUGAGUUGACCUACAUAGGGUUAGUUAUCUUUCUUUCUUCCUUUUUUUUUCACCUAAUGUCACUCAAGCACACCUGCACAUGUGCCUUGUGCCUUGCACUUGUACCUAGGCUUCAGAACCCCCUUAAUGCACCUUACGCCUUUAAUAACUAGGCAAAAGACCCAUUUUGGCCCUUUAACUUAUAGCUAAUAGUCACAAUAUCCCCAAACAAAAACUUACAAUCAAACAUGCCCCUCAAAUUUUAAUUUCGACUAAACAAGUCCAAAAUUUAAUAGCAUUAGUUAAUGGCGUUUAAAAAAUUAACAAAAUAAGUUAUUAAUUAAUAAAAUAAGUUAUUAACGAAUAAAAUAUUACUUUUACAUUUUAAAUGAUUAAAAUAAUUUUUAAACUUUACAAAAACAAAAAAAAAAAAUCGACAUGAUCUCCAUAAACCCUUCCUUUUCUCACCACCCAAACACAAACCAAAUUUCUGGGCCUCAAUUCAUUAAACCUCAUCUUGGAACUUGGCACAUAGGGGCUGUCUGUUUAAGGGAGAUUCCAUGGACUUCUACAACUUGGAAUUGAGCAGCCCAAAGAUUGUGGCUAUCAAACAAAAUCAGGUGAAUUGGUAGGCAAGUUCAAAGGAUCAAUCAAUUGCCCACAAUUAUUGAGAAAAGCAGAAUUAUCAUUGUUGCCUUUUCAAGAAACAGAGAAUGAAGAUGACAAAGAGGAAGAAGGAGAAGAUGAAGAGGCAGAGGAGGGGAGAAGAUGUUAGAUUGGAAGACAAACCAUUGUUAUGGUGGCUCAGAGUCAAGAUGACAAAGAUUACACUGAGCCACCAGUAGCAUCGUUGUUUGAGCUGACUAAGCUCCGUUCUAGGUCCCCUUAUUGCAGAGUUAAUAGCCACUUGUUCUUGUUUCUGUUUUGACACUGAUUGUGUGGUUAAGGCACCCAACAAGUGUUCAACUGUAGUCUGCUCUUAACAAAGGCGUUGUUCUACACAGUGAUGCAGUGCCUUGGAGCCACAUGUGGUGCUAGUGCGGUGAAAAGAUUUGAAGCACCACUAGAAUUCUUUGUUUGUUGAUGGUGUCUAUAGUGUGAACCUAGGUUACACUAAAUUUCACAACCCAUUUUUGGAAUUGGAGCAUUGGACAAACACUAGGGCCUUGGUAGGUUUAAAGCCACCAACGCCCAUAUUAAGCCUUGAUCGUCUCUUUACAAACCUGAAUAAUACCUCGAAAUUUUUAUUAAAAUGUAAUAAUGCAAAAUGCAACUUUGAACUAAAUAUUCCAGCCCUUAUAACACAAUCUAUUAUGGGGUGGCACAGUACAAACCACAACUUAUUUCAACAUGGAGCCGACGCUCAUUAGUUUUCUUAGGUUAAUUUGAGGAUAUCACAAGGCACAUAAGAAAGAACUACUAAUAAUAAAAAUGUUUACGACAUUGCUUUGAAUUAUUUUCAAGAGCAAAUUACAAAAAAUUAUU
This 2535-nucleotide unclassified non-coding RNA is filed under the name Hevea brasiliensis (rubber tree). Lineage: Eukaryota; Viridiplantae; Streptophyta; Magnoliopsida; Malpighiales; Euphorbiaceae. The record is from RNAcentral.